AGCGAACGCUGGCGGCAGGCCUAACACAUGCAAGUCGAACGAACUCUUCGGAGUUAGUGGCGGACGGGUGAGUAACUCGUGGGAACGUGCCUUUUGGUUCGGAAUAACUCAGGGAAACUUGUGCUAAUACCGAAUGUGCCCUUCGGGGGAAAGAUUUAUCGCCAUUAGAGCGGCCCGCGUCUGAUUAGCUAGUUGGUGAGGUAACGGCUCACCAAGGCGACGAUCAGUAGCUGGUCUGAGAGGAUGACCAGCCACACUGGGACUGAGACACGGCCCAGACUCCUACGGGAGGCAGCAGUGGGGAAUCUUGCGCAAUGGGCGAAAGCCUGACGCAGCCAUGCCGCGUGAAUGAUGAAGGUCUUAGGAUUGUAAAAUUCUUUCACCGGGGACGAUAAUGACGGUACCCGGAGAAGAAGCCCCGGCUAACUUCGUG
Molecule: ribosomal RNA, 433 nt
Filed under: uncultured bacterium
Lineage: Bacteria
Description: partial 16S ribosomal RNA
Rfam family: Bacterial small subunit ribosomal RNA
Source: RNAcentral